Molecule: ribosomal RNA, 735 nt
Filed under: uncultured bacterium
Lineage: Bacteria
Description: bacterial SSU rRNA
Rfam family: Bacterial small subunit ribosomal RNA
Source: RNAcentral
ACUCCUACGGGUGGCUGCAGUGGGGAAUAUUGGACAAUGGGCGAAAGCCUGAUCCAGCCAUGCCGCGUGUGUGAAGAAGGCCUUUUGGUUGUAAAGCACUUUAAGUGGGGAGGAAAAGCUUAUGGUUAAUACCCAUAAGCCCUGACGUUACCCACAGAAUAAGCACCGGCUAACUCUGUGCCAGCAGCCGCGGUAAUACAGAGGGUGCAAGCGUUAAUCGGAAUUACUGGGCGUAAAGCGCGCGUAGGUGGUUAUUUAAGUCAGAUGUGAAAGCCCCGGGCUUAACCUGGGAACUGCAUCUGAUACUGGAUAACUAGAGUAGGUGAGAGGGGAGUAGAAUUCCAGGUGUAGCGGUGAAAUGCGUAGAGAUCUGGAGGAAUACCGAUGGCGAAGGCAGCUCCCUGGCAUCAUACUGACACUGAGGUGCGAAAGCGUGGGUAGCAAACAGGAUUAGAUACCCUGGUAGUCCACGCCGUAAACGAUGUCUACCAGUCGUUGGUCUUUUAAAGACUUAGUGACGCAGUUAACGCAAUAAGUAGACCGCCUGGGGAGUACGGCCGCAAGGUUAAAACUCAAAUGAAUUGACGGGGGCCCGCACAAGCGGUGGAGCAUGUGGUUUAAUUCGAUGCAACGCGAAGAACCUUACCUGGUCUUGACAUAGUGAGAAUCUUGCAGAGAUGCGAGAGUGCCUUCGGGAAUUCACAUACAGGUGAUGCAUGGGUGUCGUCAGCUCGU